AAAAAGUAACAGGGGAGCCGAUGUGGCUGAGAGUGGGCUAUUAAGUCCUGACCCUCAAACCUGAUCUGGGUAAUGCCAGCGUAGGGAAGUCAUUUGAAGUGUGGA
RNAcentral lists this non-coding RNA (105 nucleotides) under Natranaerobius trueperi. Its description in RNAcentral is "TPP sequence". It matches the Rfam family "TPP riboswitch aptamer (THI element)". Rfam says of the family: Vitamin B(1) in its active form thiamin pyrophosphate (TPP) is an essential coenzyme that is synthesised by coupling of pyrimidine and thiazole moieties in bacteria. The previously detected thiamin-regulatory element, thi box was extended, resulting in a new, highly conserved RNA secondary structure, the THI element, which is widely distributed in eubacteria and also occurs in some archaea. Lineage: Bacteria; Bacillati; Bacillota; Clostridia; Natranaerobiales; Natranaerobiaceae. The record is from Rfam by way of RNAcentral.